AGUGAACGCUGGCGGUAGGCCUAACACAUGCAAGUCGAACGGCAGCACAGUAAGAGCUUGCUCUUACGGGUGGCGAGUGGCGGACGGGUGAGGAAUACAUCGGAAUCUACUUUUUCGUGGGGGAUAACGUAGGGAAACUUACGCUAAUACCGCAUACGACCUACGGUUGAAAGCAGGGGAUCUUCGGACCUUUCGCGAUUGUAUUAGCCGAUGUCGGAUUAGCUAGUUGGCGGGGUAAAGGCCCACCAAGGCGACGAUCCGUAGCUGGUCUGAGAGGAUGAUCAGCAAAACGGGAACUGAGACACGGAACAGAGAACUACGGGAGGAAGCAGUGGGGAAUAUUGGACAAUGGGGGAAAGCAUGAUACAGCAAUACCGCGUGGGUGAAGAAGGACUUAGGGUUGUAAAGAACUUUUGUUGGGAAAGAAAAGCAGCAGGUUAAUACCCCGCUGUUAUGACGGUAACCAAAGAAUAAGCACCGGCUAACUUCGUG
RNAcentral lists this ribosomal RNA (492 nucleotides) under uncultured bacterium. RNAcentral describes it as "partial 16S ribosomal RNA". It matches the Rfam family "Bacterial small subunit ribosomal RNA", at positions 29 to 507 of the family's 1533-position model. The record is from RNAcentral.